UUAAAGAUGUAGAUGGAAAAGAGUAAGAUAAAGUAAUAUUUUAAGAGAGAAAUUAGUUUUGGUGAGAUAAUUUCAAUAUUUUUUAUCUGAAGUUCACUUCCGGAAUCGCUAUCGGAAUACGAUUUAAGUUGAAAGAUAGAACGUUGAUGCUACGUUAAAGGCAUAUUAGAGUGUUGUUGUACAAUUUUGUAUAACAAAACAAGGGUGGUACCGCGAGCCUCGUCCCUUUU
RNAcentral lists this non-coding RNA (230 nucleotides) under Ligilactobacillus salivarius. RNAcentral's name for it is "Lactobacillus salivarius T-box sequence". It matches the Rfam family "T-box leader". From Rfam's summary of the family: Uncharged tRNA acts as the effector for transcription antitermination of genes in the T-box leader family. T-boxes are found upstream of many aminoacyl-tRNA synthetase genes and some amino acid biosynthetic genes usually in Gram-positive bacteria. The record is from RNAcentral. Lineage: Bacteria; Bacillati; Bacillota; Bacilli; Lactobacillales; Lactobacillaceae.